This 11394-nucleotide long non-coding RNA is filed under the name Medicago truncatula (barrel medic). Its description in RNAcentral is "long non-coding RNA (MTRU_LNC001013)". Lineage: Eukaryota; Viridiplantae; Streptophyta; Magnoliopsida; Fabales; Fabaceae. The record is from RNAcentral.
UUUGCUUUAUAGUACUCUUUAACAUACUUCCGAGAAUCUCUUUCAUUCUCUCGUUAUUUAAUAUUUAUACAUUUUUUUUAAUAUGUAUGAAAUUGUCAAAUUCAUCACUCAUUGUGGUACUACGGGAGUAAUAUGGAAAUGAAAUGAUCUUUAUUAUUAUAGAUACAAAUUACAAAGGAAAUUAUACCCUUUACAAUUACAGAACGGUGCUACAAGCCUACAACUGUAGAAAGUCCAAAUUCAAUACAAAGUCUACCCCUUUGUUAUGUUGAAGUAGAUACACUGAUUCAAAUUUGAGAUAUGUUACAAGCUACUUAGAUCCCAAAUCAUAAAUGACUGUAUUUUCUCACUUCUAUAAAGUAACUAAACAAGCUUUAUUAGACAAACAAACAUUUAAACUUCUUUUUUGAAGGAUCAAACGUUUAAACUUUGAUCAUACUAAACAGAUAUAGAUAGAAAGAAAGAAAGAAAAAAGUAGAAACUGUAAUUGUUUUUUUGUGAGAGACUCUUUAGUCAUCAUUAUGCUGAAUUGGGUGCAACUCCUGGGUGCACCUUAUUCUUACCAAUAGUACUAGAAUUUGAACUUGCCUGCACCUUUCUAUUUUGAUUAUCACCACUUACCUCUCCCUUUCUUACUCUUUCCUCUUCCAUUAUUUUCAUCUUUUCCUUCAGCCUCUUCUGCAUAACAAAAAUUUCAGCUGAACGUGCACCAAUUGAAGACAUGUUAUAUUAAUUAUUUGACUAAUACUAGUACUUAAUUAUUAUAAUAAUAUAUAAUUAAACUGAAUUGAACUAGUUAUGAAAUGUGAUCUGCCAAACUAGUGUUCCCAAAGAUGGAAUUUAUAGGAGUUGGAAUUGGAGGUAUGUAUGGUAGAUAGUGAUCAGUAUGUGGAACAAGCAGUCACGUUAAUUAAUGUUGUUAUGGUUUGUGGUUUUGCUUUACAACCAUGCAUAGGUGUUUAUUUAAUUAAUUGAACAAAAAAUAGAAUGUCCUGUUGUCAUAGUGCCAUGUAUUAUGGAAAUUAAAAUUUGGUCUGUGCGUGCAGCAUCAUGUGUUCUAACCGUUAACUAAAUAUAUGUUACAGUUUGUAUUAUACACAAACACAUAUACACCACACAAAUAUAUACAUUAAUAUGGUGGUCGGUUUAGAGCAUAGAGGAAGUGGUUGUUAAUACAAUUAUAAAAUGACUGAAGUGGGCUUCAUCAUGGUUAAUUAAAGGUGCUAAUUGCUAUCCCAACAUUAUAGAAAUCAUUAAUUAAUAUUAUUGAUGCUAAGAUGACAAGUCAGCUUUGAUCCACUGGGUGGAAGAAGUGUUUUCUUGUGAUUAGAUUUUUUAUUUUAUUUUUAUAUAUCGAUAAUGUUAUUCUUAUGAUGACUAUUUAGCUUUGAAAAAUGAGGGCAUUUUAUUUUAUGUUUUAAUUUUUAAUUUUUUUAUACUUUGUAAACUUUUUUUUUUACUAUUUAAGUUAAGAGUAGAAGUGAUAUUCAAAUCCAUUUACAAGAAACAUAACAAAAAAAUUCCACAAAACCAUAAACUAGAACCUAUUAGUUGUUAAAGAGUCUCACAUUAAAUAAACUAGGACUUGAUCAUGAAUUUAUAAAUGAGUGUAAUCCCCAUCUUGUAAAUCGAUUUUCAAAAGAUGAAUUUCACCCAAUAUAAAAAUCUAAUAAGAUUACAGAGCCUGUCUAAGAUAUGUUAGAUUACAUGCUAAGAUCAUCGCUUUUAGGUCACAUAUGAUAUGUCCAGUCACGAGCGUGAAAGAUAUGUGUUAAAAAAUCCCAUAUUAAAUAAAGAGAGGGUAUGGACAUGAGUUUAUAAAUGAACGCAAUAUCCUCAUCUUAUAAGCCAAAUUUGUAAGAAUGAAUUAAGCCAAAGGAAAUGGUAACUUUUGUCGUCCUAAAGAUAUAUACAUGCUAAGAAUUUAAGUGUAACUCAAUAAAAUCCUUUACAAUCCUAAAAUAAAAUGACAAUGAAAUGUUUUGAAAAUGCUCGUGUGUUUAACUUGUUCCUCAAAUCAAUAGACCUGGUAGACUUAUCCUUGAUGGAGAGGAAAUUUACAUGGUCCAACCAAAUAGGAAGUAUAUCAGUUGCUUGGAUAGGUUGAUGAUCUCACAACAAUGAUAAGUGAAAUGGGGAGAUUUGAGUAUGUGGGCACUAUGUAUAUAUAUUUUAGAUAGUUGCCCAAUCACUCUAAGGUAUGUCGAUUUUGAUUAGGAUAGAGAAACACACAAGAGAAGAGUUUGGCCGAUCCACCAAUUAUGAAUGACACUAAAAAAAUGGUCCCUUAAAUAAUACUUCAUAAUUUUUUUUUAUCCUGAUAAACGUUGAAUAUGACAGUUGAAUUCUCAACUAUGUUGGCACCCAAUUUACCGUAAUAAAAUGUUUUGAAAUCCCAACUAUAUGCUGACAUCCAAAACGUUAGGGUUGAUAGUGAUUUUCACCCCUGUAAUAUAUGUUAUUUUCGGUUUUUGACUUUAUAAAAUUUUUCGGUUUGAUUUGCACCCUCGUAAAAUUUUUAUUUUCCGGAAAACACCCCUAAUAGGCCAUUUUCAGAAUUAUUUUUCAAGAAAUUUUGGUUUUUGAAUGGCCUAUUAAGGGUGUUUUCCGAAAAAUAAAAAUUUUACGAGGGUGCAAAUCAAACCGAAAAUUUUAUAGGGACGACAACCAGAAAUGACAUAUAUAUAUUACAGGGGUGAAAAACACUAUUAACCCCUAAUAAGUAAACCAUUUGCAAAAAAAAUAUUGUCUCAAAAAAAUGGACUCAUAUUACUUUUCAAUACAACAUUAAUUACUUUUUUCCGAUAAUAUAUCUAAUUAAUACUACUUUCAUCAUUCUCAAUUCAAUAUAUUUUUGUGAUAAUACACUCAAAACCAUCUCUCUCUCUCUCUCUCUCUCUCUCUCUCUCUCUCUCUCUCUCACUCUCGUAAUAUGAACAAUGAAAAGAACAAAAGACUCACUUCUACUGGGACUGAAGGACUAUUAAUAAAAAGUUAUGAACAAAAUACUCACUUAUAAUGGGACAAGAGAAUUAUUAAUAAAAAAGAAUAACAAAACAAAAAAAGUUUGCGGCCAAACCAAACCCAACAAAGUUAUGUAAACGAUAUGUAAGCUUAUCAAACAUAUCUAAAAAACUAGGAUAUCUAAAAAAAACCUUUAUAAAGAAAAACAUAUCUAAAAAACCAGCCCUUAUAAAACUACGAUAUAUAGAUCACCAUUGAGAAUUUACAAUUGUUUUACAAAAUAUCAACAACAAAGAAGCUUCACUUUUAUCGGGAAGUCAUGAGAUUGUGGUUUCUUCAAAUAUUUUAAGAUGCAAAAUCACUUCAAAUGUCUUCGAUUCCUCAAAUCUAUUUUUCAGAAAAGUAAUUUUCAUAUAAACAACAAUAAAAAAUAGUUGAUUCUUAUGAAUUCUUGAUCAAAUAAUAAAAUAUGUUCAAUUUUUGACAAUUUGUAUUACGUCUCUUUAAAUUGUCAUUUUAAUAUUUUAUGUCACUGUUUUGAAAAAACUAGUUAAUCACAAUUCAAAUUAUAAAAUACAAAAUACAACAAAUAAGUUUCGAAUUAUAAAAUUUAAACAGAAAAAAUGAUCAAUUUGAAGGCGAUUGAGAAGUGAUUAGGGUGAGAAAUAAAAUUAAAAAAAAAAAAAAAUGACGGUCAGGUGAACUUAAGUAUGUUAGGGUUUAGAGCUUUUAAAGUAGUUUUGCAAAAAAAAAAAGAAAAAGAGUUGCGGGCCUUAAGUUUGUUGGGCCCUUUUAUACGUUUUAUUAUAUACAACAUCAUAAAAUGAAGCUUUGCUAUUUACACCUAUUCUACAAUUUUUUUUUGCCCUCUACUAGACUGGACCCAAGGCCGUCGCACCCCUGGCCUUCGCCUAGGGCCGGCCAUGUACAUGAAUGAUGAGCAUUGUUGAUCGAUUCCUCGCCCCUUGGAUGCCUCUGAUCGUUGAUAUCCUUCAUAAAUUGAGAUUUUGCCUUCUUCUCCUCGACAUAACGUGUUUUUCAAGUGAGGCAAAAACUCUAUAUUUAUAAGCGAUAAAUUCUCUAAUUUUCUGAAAUAGUUAAUAUGCGAUGUACACAACCUUCUACACGUCUUGUCAUGGACAAUAGCUGACGACUUCGUUUUUCCUUCUGAUGGCGUGACGCGUGGCUCAUAGACACAUUACACUUCUUAAUUAUAAUAGUUAAAUUUCUUCAUCCUCUGUCCCAUUUCGCCUCACCAAAACAUCCGCAGUGACCAUACCCCAAAAAAUCAUUGUGAUUGUUUUUCAUUUUAUUCUCCCAUGCGUAUGUGUCGGUUUAUUUAUGAAAAUUCAACUAAAACCAUAGAUACUAUGCCAAAGGACUCUAAAAUAAAUCCUAAAUUAUGUUAAAAUUACUAAAUGACUGAUUGUCAUCCCUUGCAAAAGUUGGCAUGUUUUAUGAAUAUUGUUUGCACCUUAAGAUGUGCAAAGUUGAUGAUGUGAUAGAAAAAGAGAGAUGUAGAAAAAAAAAUGUUGAAUGAAUGUAUGAAACUUAAGGAUAUCCAAAUAUAAUUGUUGAUAUUUUAUAGGUUGGAAGUGAAUGAAAACUUUGAAGUUACAAGAAAAAUGUUUAGUUACUAGCUGCAACAAAUUCUUGCAAUGCUUUAUUGCAUAAUAUAUAUAUAUAUAUAUAUAUAUAUAUAUAUAUAUAUAUAUAUAUAUAUAUGAGAAUCUAAUCCAUGUAAUUAAUCUUCAUGCUAUAUGAAGUCUCAUGGAAGAUCGCAUACAUUAAUGUCCCUGGGUGAUUCAAUUUUUCAUAUUGUUCAAAAUAAUCCCUUCCCAGUUUACCCUUGGAGACCUCAACGACCUCUUUCCCUUUUUCAUAUUGUUUAGAAUACCUUCUCAGUUCACCCUUGGAGACCUAAAUGACCUCUUUCCCUUUCUUAUUGGCGCCACAUUCAAAUUCAAAAGCUCCUCUUUAUUUUUAGUUGCAACACUUGAUCUCAAGAUACACAUAAAAGCCAAAAAACCAUCUUUACUAAAUUUCCAAAGUUUGAAAUCAGGGUCAUGAUAAAAAACAUGAAGGGGCUCUUCAUUCACCACAUGACCAUGACCUUGCAACCAAGCAAUUUCAGCACAAUCAACGAAAAAACUAAAUGCACGCACAGAAGCAUAUGCAAUACCUUGAUCAUCAUCAUGAGCAUUAUUAGAUGGAUGAAUGAAUUUGACAAAGGUAUUUGCCAAUGUAUCGAUUAUCAUGCCCUCUAUAAUCUGUUUGGUAGAUUUUGACAUGCGAGUAGCCCUUAUGCGACAUGCAUUUAGGUCUGGUAACAUAAAACGAGACCUCCCUGGUAAAUGGCCUAGUCUCUUUAGGGUUUCAUGUGUCAAUGCUUCAAUAUUUGGACGCACCUUGUUCAUAUGUUUGGUUCAUUAUCCUCUACUAAGUACCCUGUAACCAAUCAUAUAACAAGUUAGCUAUAAUGAUACAUGUAUAUUAAAUAAUAAUCAGGGAUUGAUGAAAAUUACAUAAGAUAAAAUAUAAACAAACCUAAUCGUUUUCUAAAUAGUGGAAAUAUACAUGCUCUUUUUUGUGGGGGGUAUAUAUAAGCUCUUUUUUAUCAUGAAGAAAGUACUUUACCUGGUUAUUAUUACUAAUAUCCUUAUAAUGAGAAAAUUGGAUAACUCCUCAACAAAGGUAUUUAUGAGUUCUAGUUGGCAAUUCGUAGGAAAUAAUUGAAGGCCGUAUAAAAGACCAGGGCAAAGACAAAAGCACAUUUGGAGAUUCGAACAACAAGAGUGUCUCUUGCAAGAGGCCACACAAAUCCUUCAACACAACAAAAAGUUGUAUGUAGGAGACAAUUAAGGUGUAAUGCAAGGUUUACCGAAAAACGCCCAAAAUUCAACAAUGUUGAUGUUUGUCCAACAUUAUAGUCCAUUAAGAUUAAUGCACAUGUCUGGCAAGCCAAAAGAGUAGUUAUGCAUCCAUUUCGAAUUUGUUGUAUAUUUCCUUGUAAUGUUGACAUGGUUUGUACACUGCAAAAUAUGAUCUAUACGAAGAAAUUUUGAAACAAAAUUAGAGGAGAAAAAAAAAUAUAACAUAUAAAAUUAAAUCAAAUUAAAACAAUUAUAAAAAUUUGAGAUUAGACUCAAUAUUAUGUACUAUGGAAAAUAUUUGCUACAAUUAUUUUUAAAGGAGAUGUUAUGUUGAUGUAAAUCAAUCAAUGAGAAUCUACUACAAUUUGAGAUUAUUUAUGUCGUCGUGAUCGCAUAAAGAUUGUGAUAAAUAUUGCAUCUAUCACUUUUGAUGAUGAUUACCCACAAUUCAAGAAUUUUGAUCUUUAAAACUGUGACCACUAUUUAAAAUAUAUUUUUGAUCAACAAUCAAUAUGGAGAUGAGCAAACACCCAUACACACAAAUGAAAUAAAAGAUGAAUCUUUAAGCAUCGAUAAAAGUAAAAUGACAUAAAUUGUAAGGAUUAAAUGAGCAUAUACCUCGUCUCAGUCUCUAAAGAAGUAUAGGGCAAAGAGCAAGAAAGAGCGUAUAUGAUAUAUAAAGAGGGUUAUGUGUUCAUGGACAUGACUGUUUAAUUGUGAACGAGUGAUAUAAAGAUGUGCAUUGUACAAUAACCGUUGAUAAUGAGCUGGCAAUGACUCAAUGCAUAAUUUUUUGCGCGUAUUAUUAAUUUAAUAAUAAAAAAAAUCCAUUAUUUAAAUAAGAAUAUUAGUAUAUGAAAAUAAUAGGUAAUUAUUCAAUAAAAAUAUUCAUACAGAAAAAUAUUUAUGAAUUUAAUUUUUCUCUUGAAGGAAUGAAUUUAAUAUUUUUACUCAUAUAGAUUUCAUAUAAAUAUUCUAUGUUUUUAUAUGUAAAAAAUACAUGUUGGUUUUUGUAUACAACUUUACCGGUAAUUAAUCUCUGCGGGAGAACUUAGUUGACAACAUUUUUGUAGGGUCUCCCCGUUCAACCAUAAUUUUUUCAAUCACAAAAUUCAAAUUUGAGACUUUAUCUUUAGAGAGUCCAGUACUACAUAAACCAAUUAUGUGUUGAAUGACUAAGUGUUAGAAAAAAUAUCAUUAUUUUCAAGAAAACAUAUCCUUAAUCAAGGUUUUAAUUAUAGAUAAUUUUAGUCAAUACGAUUAUGAUAAAUGUUGCAUAUACCACUUUCGAUAGUGAAUAUCCAUAAUUUUUCAAGGAUUGCAAUCUUUAAAACUUUUACCGAUAUUUAAAAUGAUGUCCUUGAUCAACAAUCAAUAUGAAGUUUAGCAAACAUACACAUACACACAAAUAAAAUAGAAGACAGAGCUUUAAAUAUUGACAAAAGUAAAUUGACUGAAAUUGUAAGCAUCGGACGAGCAAGAAAAUACAAACAAUAUAUAAAAAUGUUUCAGUCUUUAAAGAAAUACUUACAUAUGAGCAAGUAAAAGUAAAGGGUGGAGUGAGGAAAUUAGCAAAAGUAUAUAGAUUAUAUUAUAUAAAGGGGUCAUAAGACUCUUUAAUUGAGAGUGAAUGGGUCAUAUAAUAAGGAUGCAACUCUUAAUAAUAUUUUUUAUUUUUUGGCAAAAAGGGUGGUAGCAAAGGAGCUAACCAAGCCAAAAAAUAAUAUGUUGACAUUAGUGAGUGCAAAACUUUGUGUGGUACUAAAUUAAUAUAAAAAAAUUCAAAAUUAAUAGUUUAAAUAAUUAAAUUAGUAUAUAAGAAUUAUAAGUAAUUAUUUAAUAAAAAUAUUCAUAAAGUAAAAUAUUUAUGAAUUUAAUUUUAUACCUCAUGUGAAUUGCAAAUAAUAUAUUCUCUAUUUUUAUAUCUCAAAAAUAUGCGUUGAUUUAUUUAUACAACUAUGCUAACAAUUAAUCAUCGUUGGAGAACCUAACUAACAAUUUUUUUGUGGGAUUUCCGCUCUCAACCAUAAUUUCCAUUGACAACAUUCAAUUUCAAGACCUUAUUUUUAAGAGAUUUGAGUCCAAAUCUUUUCAGACCAAUAUGUUGUUCGUAAAAUAUGUGUUGAAUGACGUUGAAAUUAAUGAUCUCAUUUAAAUUUUUAUUUAUAAUUCUCUCCUUUUUUUUUAAUAAAAAAAUUAAUUUUCCAUACUUGUAUAUAAGAUGACACCAACUUCAGGCACAUCCUAUUUCUUCUACAAGUUCUAGCCUUUUAUACUAAUUUAUGAACAAUUUUGUCAUCAUUCAUCUAAUUUGGUAUUUUCAUUUUUAUAGGGGAUACAAACUUGGGAAAUUCUAUGGUGAAGUCAUUAAAUUGACUUUUUCAGAGCAGUUAUCCUACAUCCAAUAAUAAUGCGCCACAUUGUUGAAUGAUGUCAUGUGUGUUGACUGUUGUAUGGUAUAUACCGUGUAUCUGCUCAAUAUGUACCACCGUAGACUAACUUUUUUGAACUAUCAGAUUAAGCAAUUCACUAGUGUUAUUGUGUUCAUAAUCUCCUUUUUGAUUUUUUCUUCCUUCUAUUUCAAAAAAUAUUUAAAUAAACCUUUUUAUGAUAAUCCUUUUUAUAAAAAAAUAUUUCAUUAUUAAAAAUAAAUAAACCAAGGAAGAUUAUGAACAUCAUCACCAUCUUCAUACCUUCAUCAUUUUCUUUAUUGAACAAAAAACAAAAUAACUACUCAAAUACAUCUCCAAAUAACAUGAAUCUCAAUAUUUUCUUCAUCUCCAUUUUCUAAUCAACACAAAAGUCAAUUACCCUAAUUUAAAUCCAACUCUUGAUGGACAAGUAGAGUGUUAAUUGCGGCUGCUAUGCGACAAUAUAUACUCUCAGUGGAUUAGUUGCAGAAUUAUACAGAUUGAAUCAAGAGCAGCUAUGCUUUUAGUUAAUUUCCAGCAAUUAAAAAGUAAUUUUUUUUAUCAAAUUGAGACGACAAAUCUCUAUGAUAGAUGCACAAAAGAAGUGAUGUGGUCAGGUUGAAAAUUAGUAUGUCCAUCAUGUUAUUGGUUCAGCGAGUACUCGUUUAUGGGGCAACAAUAUUGGUUAAAGUAUCAACGACGUGAAUUGAGAGAAAAAAUAUAAUUAUCGUAAACAUGGUGAUUUUAACCCAAUCCAUUUUUUCAAUUUUAAUUUAAAACAAUUUAUAUAAUCAUCAUUUUCGUCUUAAUAGUUUUUAGGCUUAAUUGAACCUUAAGUACUCUAACUUAUUUUUUUGGCUUAAUAGGAAAAUGUUAACAUUAAAAACGUACUAAUAAGUAAUAAUUACCAUUAAAACGCCCUUAAAAAACUAGCAUUUCCGUUUCUUCUUAAAAAAAAAGCAUUAAAAACGUAUUAAGUGUGAUUCAAUUUAUACAGCUAGCAUUAAAUACGUAUUAAGUGUGAUUGCAGAAUAAAAAUUAUUAUAUUUUUUUAAAGAAGAAAUAUUGGCAUCGAAAAUUUAUUUAAAAACAGUAUCGAAAAUGGCUAAUUAGCUCGGAAAUUUGCGUUAAUAACGAUAUCGAAAACAUCUUACGUUUCAGAAAAAGAAAAAAAAAAUCAAAAACAUCACACAAAAAUUUACUUUAAUGCAAAAGUUUUUUUUAUAUAUUAUACACUUUUAAAUUUUUAAAAGGAAGUCUUUUUCUUGAAAAAAAGAUUUUAUAUUAAAUAAUGACAAGUUAAUUUGGAGAGUAAGAGAUUGACAUUUUUUUAGGCAUUAAUUGUAUGUGGUUGAAUCAUGGAAAAAAAAGAUAAAUAUUAUUCAUAUCUUUAAUAUAAGAUAAUUAUUAUCAUAUGUUUUAUUUAAAUAUAAUUUUUUAGACAAUAAUUAAAUAUAUUUUCUUAAUUAUAAACAUUUUUUAAAAUUGUAUAAGAUAAAUAAGUUUCCAUAAUAUUGUGUGCAACCUAUAAUAUUCUAAAAAAAAAUUAUGCAAAAUUUAAAACAAUUUAAGAUAUUGAGUAUAAAGUAUUUUAUUUUUAAUUUAAUUCAAAAAGAAGUGUUGAAUGGGAGGGAGGUCUGAGCUUUGAGAGGGAAGUAGGUGUGCUAAAUCAAAAUUGUAACCACCAUAUCAUCGAUCUUUUAAUGUCUAAAAUCGAAAUAUAUUAUAUAUAAUAUAUAUAAGCAUGUUAUAUCUACAUUUUUUUUUAUUAUGUAAUUUCAUUUUAUUUUUUUUAUUUUUUGGGUUUUUUUUUUCUCUCAUGAAGAUGAUGAAUAAGUUGAUGAAGAUAUGAUAUGAAGAAGAUGAAGGAAAGAUGAAGAUGUUGAUUUAAUAAAAAUCUGGAAGAGAGAGAAUAUAAAUAAAUAAAGAAAGAAAAAUAAAGAGGAGAUAAAAUUGGUACUAGAAGAAAAAUCAUGUGUAGAUGGUGUACCACAAUAACAUAGAGAUCAAGUAAAUCUAACCAUUAAAAUCAUGAAAUAAAGUUUUCCUUCACUUACGCUACCGUAGACCGCACUACACUGAAACAUGAUUAGGGUUUUUGACGUGUCAUCAUUUAAAAUCUGAUUGGCCCAUUCAAACGACUUCACCGAAGAAGUCAUUUUCCUGACUUCAUCAUAGAAGCUCCCUACAAACUUUUGGGAUAACUUACUUCUUUAAAUUUCAUCAUUCCAUUUAUUUAAACUAUUUUAUUUACAAUUGUACCUUUAUUUACCUAAGGUAAGAGAAAUAAUGAUUUUUUUUUUAGAACAACAGACAUGCAGAUGCAUUAUUGGUGAUUAAAUGAGACUUAAUUAGUGAUGAUUAUAUCCUGAAGUUUAUCUCAAUCAUAUAUAUAUCAUAAGAAAUAUAAACCAUAAUAUGCAAAUGAUCCUUGAUUAUUUUACAUACCAACUAUCAACGAAAUUAAAUCAUCUACAAGAGGAUAAAAAUGUAUAACAAAGUCCUCUUUAUUAUACAAACAAACCAUUAAACUUGAUCAUACAAAACAGGUAUAGUAAAAAAAUAGUAAAAAGUAAAAACUAUUUUUUUUGGUGAUAGGUUCUUUAGUUAUCAUUAUGCUGAAUUGGGUGCAACUCCGGGAUGCACCUUAUUCUUACCAAUAGUACUAGAAUUUGCUUGCACCUUUCUGUUUUGAUCAUCACCACUCACCUCUCCUCUUCUUACUUUUUCUUCUUCCAUUAUUUUCAUCUUUUCCUUCAUCCUCUUCUGCAUAACAAAAAUUUCAGCUGAACGUGCACCAAUGGAAGACAUGUUAUAGUUACUUGACUAAUAAUUAAUUAUAAUAAUUAGAAUGAAUUUAACUAAAUGCUCUUCCAAACUAGUGUUCCCAAAGAUGGAAUUUAUAGGAGUUGGGAUUGGAAGUAGAUACUGUAGUGAUCAGUAUGUGGAACAUGCAGCACGUUAAUUAAUGUUACUAUUUAAUGUUGAUAUGGUUUGUGGUUUUGCUUUACAACCAUGCAUGCAUUGGUGUUUAUUUAAUUAAUUGAGCAAAAAAAUAAAUAUAAUGUCUUGUUGCCAUAAUAUAUUAUGGAAAUUAAAAUUUGGUUUGUGCGUGCAGCAUCAUGUGUUCAAACCGUUAACUAAAU